CAGCUCGGAGGGGGAAGGAGCGGACGACGCAAUGAUUGCUCGCCUCGAGAAGCACAAGGGGCCGGUGCGCGGGCUGGACUUCAGCGAGUUCAGGCCGCACAUGCUCGCGACUGGUGCUGACGACGGAGAGGUGAUCGUCUGGGAUCUGAAGAACCCUGCCAUGCCCGCCGUGUGUUGCCAGCUCAAGAUCCUGGAAUCCACGGCAUUCCCACAUUUUGGCAUCCACUUCUUAUAAUGGGAUCACAGGUAAAGCAUACUGUAUCUUGUUUGCCUGUUGAAAUUGUUCAGCAUUUACUCUAAUUCUUUUUUCUUAUAAUCUUUUAUCAAUUAUAGCUGUGUGGGACGUGGAUAGUAAGAGGCCGGUGAUUAAGUAAUUUUCUCUGCUGAUUGAGUUAUUCUCUAAUUGUUAUGUUUGUCAAUGCAAUAUUUACUUUUUAUUAACUUUGUAAUCCAUUCUCCAUUAUCUUAAAUAGCUUAUCUGAUUCCGAAAGCAAUUAGGGUUGCGUGGAAUAAUAGAUUGAAUUGAUAGGAGAUAGAGGUUACAAUAUAUAGGGGUGAGGAGAUCUUAGGGCUUAUAGAAACAGAGCCAGAUAAGAUCUCCUCCUUUCUCUAAUCAAUCAACAGGGCCGGUCGGGCUGAAAGCCAUGGGGCACAGGCUCGUAUACACGCAUACCAUAUAUCUGCUAACACGCCCCCUCAGUCGAAUCGUCGAUGCGUCGAACAUUCAGACUGGACCUGAACUUCGAGAAGACCGAAGAAGGCAGCCCCUUUGUGAAGACAUCAACAAACUGAGAAGUGGUGGGAACAUGAAGGACUCGCACUUCUCCAAGCGCAACACGCUCCCGAACGAAAUGAAGAUCGAUCUCCACAUGUUCGGUGCGCUGAUGCUGAACAGGGUUGGAGGACAUGUAGACCGUGCUGAUAUUGUCACAAUACACCAGGGUAGCCCGACGCAAUGGUGUGUGCAGCUCACCCAGUAGCUGACGUAGCCAUGUGGCCUCGUCAAUUGCGUUGGCGACAGCUCAAUACUCAGUCUCUGUACUAGAGCGGGAAACUGUAUUCUGACGCUUGGAAGACUAGAAGAUCAUGUUGUCGCUAAGAAACACAGCAUGGCCCGAGGUGAACUUGCGCGUGUCAGGACAGCCAGCCCCCUCAACAUCAGAGUAAACUAGACUUUUGCCAUUUUUAUGUACAUUAGUCAGGCUGACAUUUGCAUGACUGUAUUCUUCUGUUAAACUUCAGAAUUACUGUGUCACCAGUACCUAAUGAGCAACUCCCCAAAAAAAUAAUGAAUAAGGAUUGCUGCAUUCUAUGACUGCAGAUAGUAGGAUGCCUUUUUAUUGGAAACGUGUCUUUGUAAACAUAUUUGAUUUUCGGUGCCACUCUUCGUGGGUGUUGGCAGCUA
This is a long non-coding RNA of Setaria italica (foxtail millet), 1405 nucleotides long. RefSeq lists it as uncharacterized. The record is from RefSeq and is a predicted model, not a curated record. The transcript is spliced from 3 exons. Lineage: Eukaryota; Viridiplantae; Streptophyta; Magnoliopsida; Poales; Poaceae.